RNAcentral lists this ribosomal RNA (195 nucleotides) under Pedobacter hartonius. RNAcentral describes it as "partial 23S ribosomal RNA". It matches the Rfam family "Bacterial large subunit ribosomal RNA", at positions 1 to 211 of the family's 2925-position model. The record is from RNAcentral. Lineage: Bacteria; Pseudomonadati; Bacteroidota; Sphingobacteriia; Sphingobacteriales; Sphingobacteriaceae.
GAGAAGAAAGUAAAUAAGAGCACACAGGGGAUGCCUUGGCUCUCAGAGGCGAUGAAGGACGUGAUAAGCUGCGAUAAGCUUCGGGUAUUAGCAAAUAUGAAUUAAUCCGAAGAUUUCCGAAUGGGGAAACCUGGCUAGUUGAAGACUAGUCGUAUAUAAUACGCAAACCUGCCGAACUGAAACAUCUAAGGUACC